CAUCUAUCUCUCUCAAUGUUUUGCUUUUUGCUUUAAUUGUUCAACAUAUGAUAAUUAGGGUUUUAUUUGGUGAGUGUUACAAUGACCAAUACGUUCUUCCACUAUUUUGUGACGAAGAAAUUCUGAUAGGGUCGAUUGCAAAGAAGGGGUUGCAGCAGUACUUGCUUCAGCUUCAACAUCACCCAGAACCAAGGCAAUUACAGUGGAGGUUUUGUCAAUGAUCAGUGACAUAGUGUUGCAGAAGCUCAUCGGUAUUCAGAAACUUCAGAUAAGACGGCUCCUUCUCAAAGUGAUGUUCGAUUAUGAAUUAUAUUUGAGAAACCUUGUGAAACUGAUUUCUCUCCCACUCCGUUAGAAGAAGACAAAGACGAAGGAAGACAGCAGCCACUACCCACCCAUCUGCUUCUUCUCCACUCCACCCUCCGUCGGAAUUCCUCUCUGUUUCCUCAUUUCUGAAGGUCCCUUCACAUCUCUUUCUGAAUGUUUUGCUAGGUCCAGAUUUCAAUUUUAGUUUGUGUAAUUAGAUUUCAAUUUCUGGAAAUAGGUUGCUGUAAAAUUUAUGGGGUAGUAGAAUUUGGUAUGCUAUAAAGUGUUUCUUGAUAUUAUGAAUUUCUGGAAAUAGGUUGCUGUAAAAUUUACAGAUGUUCGUUUUGUGAAUUGGGUGUAUGAAUGAUUUGUUGGUUUUGGUCUCUUCUAAUACCAUGUCUUCUAUUUUGUGUU
Malus domestica (apple) is the source of this 720-nucleotide non-coding RNA. The record is from RefSeq and is a predicted model, not a curated record. NCBI's taxonomy places the organism in Eukaryota, Viridiplantae, Streptophyta, Magnoliopsida, Rosales, Rosaceae.